Molecule: ribosomal RNA, 1439 nt
Filed under: uncultured organism
Description: 16S ribosomal RNA
Rfam family: Bacterial small subunit ribosomal RNA
Source: RNAcentral
ACGCUGGCGGCGUGCUUAACACAUGCAAGUCGAACGGAAAGGCCCUGCUUUUGUGGGGUGCUCGAGUGGCGAACGGGUGAGUAACACGUGAGUAACCUGCCCUUGACUUUGGGAUAACUUCAGGAAACUGGGGCUAAUACCGGAUAGGAGCUCCUGCUGCAUGGUGGGGGUUGGAAAGUUUCGGCGGUUGGGGAUGGACUCGCGGCUUAUCAGCUUGUUGGUGGGGUAGUGGCUUACCAAGGCUUUGACGGGUAGCCGGCCUGAGAGGGUGACCGGCCACAUUGGGACUGAGAUACGGCCCAGACUCCUACGGGAGGCAGCAGUGGGGAAUAUUGCACAAUGGGCGGAAGCCUGAUGCAGCAACGCCGCGUGCGGGAUGACGGCCUUCGGGUUGUAAACCGCUUUCGCCUGUGACGAAGCGUGAGUGACGGUAAUGGGUAAAGAAGCACCGGCUAACUACGUGCCAGCAGCCGCGGUGAUACGUAGGGUGCGAGCGUUGUCCGGAUUUAUUGGGCGUAAAGGGCUCGUAGGUGGUUGAUCGCGUCGGAAGUGUAAUCUUGGGGCUUAACCCUGAGCGUGCUUUCGAUACGGGUUGACUUGAGGAAGGUAGGGGAGAAUGGAAUUCCUGGUGGAGCGGUGGAAUGCGCAGAUAUCAGGAGGAACACCAGUGGCGAAGGCGGUUCUCUGGGCCUUUCCUGACGCUGAGGAGCGAAAGCGUGGGGAGCGAACAGGCUUAGAUACCCUGGUAGUCCACGCUGUAAACGGUGGGUACUAGGUGUGGGGUCCAUUCCACGGGUUCCGUGCCGUAGCUAACGCUUUAAGUACCCCGCCUGGGGAGUACGGCCGCAAGGCUAAAACUCAAAGGAAUUGACGGGGCCCCGCACAAGCGGCGGAGCAUGCGGAUUAAUUCGAUGCAACGCGUAGAACCUUACCUGGGUUUGACAUGGAUCGGGAGUGCUCAGAGAUGGGUGUGCCUCUUUUGGGGUCGGUUCACAGGUGGUGCAUGGCUGUCGUCAGCUCGUGUCGUGAGAUGUUGGGUUAAGUCCCGCAGCGAGCGCAACCCUUGUUCACUGUUGCCAGCACGUUAUGGUGGGGACUCAGUGGAGACCGCCGGGGUCAACUCGGAGGAAGGUGGGGAUGACGUCAAGUCAUCAUGCCCCUUAUGUCCAGGGCUUCACGCAUGCUACAAUGGCUGGUACAGAGAGUGGCGAGCCUGUGAGGGUGAGCGAAUCUCGGAAAGCCGGUCUCAGUUCGGAUUGGGGUCUGCAACUCGACCUCAUGAAGUCGGAGUCGCUAGUAAUCGCAGAUCAGCAACGCUGCGGUGAAUACGUUCCCGGGGCUUGUACCCACCGCCCGUCAAGUCAUGAAAGUUGGUAACACCCGAAGCCGGUGGCCUAACCGUUGUGGGGGAGCCGUCGAAGGUGGGACUGGUGAUUAGG